UUUGUCCACAUUUACUACUCU
This 21-nucleotide non-coding RNA is filed under the name Caenorhabditis elegans. Lineage: Eukaryota; Metazoa; Nematoda; Chromadorea; Rhabditida; Rhabditidae. The record is from RNAcentral.